Molecule: ribosomal RNA, 1178 nt
Filed under: Salmonella enterica subsp. enterica serovar Newport
Lineage: Bacteria; Pseudomonadati; Pseudomonadota; Gammaproteobacteria; Enterobacterales; Enterobacteriaceae
Description: bacterial LSU rRNA
Rfam family: Bacterial large subunit ribosomal RNA
Source: RNAcentral
GGGUUGUGAGGUUAAGCGACUAAGCGUACACGGUGGAUGCCCUGGCAGUCAGAGGCGAUGAAGGGCGUGCUAAUCUGCGAUAAGCGCCGGUAAGGUGAUAUGAACCGUUAUAACCGGCGAUACCCGAAUGGGGAAACCCAGUGUGAUUCGUCACACUAUCAUUAACUGAAUCCAUAGGUUAAUGAGGCGAACCGGGGGAACUGAAACAUCUAAGUACCCCGAGGAAAAGAAAUCAACCGAGAUUCCCCCAGUAGCGGCGAGCGAACGGGGAGGAGCCCAGAGCCUGAAUCAGCAUGUGUGUUAGUGGAAGCGUCUGGAAAGGCGCGCGAUACAGGGUGACAGCCCCGUACACAAAAGCGCAUGUGCUGUGAGCUCGAUGAGUAGGGCGGGACACGUGGUAUCCUGUCUGAAUAUGGGGGGACCAUCCUCCAAGGCUAAAUACUCCUGACUGACCGAUAGUGAACCAGUACCGUGAGGGAAAGGCGAAAAGAACCCCGGCGAGGGGAGUGAAAAAGAACCUGAAACCGUGUACGUACAAGCAGUGGGAGCACCCUUUGGGGUGUGACUGCGUACCUUUUGUAUAAUGGGUCAGCGACUUAUAUUCUGUAGCAAGGUUAACCGUAUAGGGGAGCCGAAGGGAAACCGAGUCUUAACCGGGCGUUAAGUUGCAGGGUAUAGACCCGAAACCCGGUGAUCUAGCCAUGGGCAGGUUGAAGGUUGGGUAACACUAACUGGAGGACCGAACCGACUAAUGUUGAAAAAUUAGCGGAUGACCUGUGGCUGGGGGUGAAAGGCCAAUCAAACCGGGAGAUAGCUGGUUCUCCCCGAAAGCUAUUUAGGUAGCGCCUCGUGAAUUCAUCUCCGGGGGUAGAGCACUGUUUCGGCUAGGGGGCCAUCCCGGCUUACCAACCCGAUGCAAACUGCGAAUACCGGAGAAUGUUAUCACGGGAGACACACGGCGGGUGCUAACGUCCGUCGUGAAGAGGGAAACAACCCAGACCGCCAGCUAAGGUCCCAAAGUCAUGGUUAAGUGGGAAACGAUGUGGGAAGGCCCAGACAGCCAGGAUGUUGGCUUAGAAGCAGCCAUCAUUUAAAGAAAGCGUAAUAGCUCACUGGUCGAGUCGGCCUGCGCGGAAGAUGUAACGGGGCUAAACUAUGCACCGAAGCUGCGGCAGCGA